Molecule: ribosomal RNA, 253 nt
Filed under: uncultured bacterium
Lineage: Bacteria
Description: partial 16S ribosomal RNA
Rfam family: Bacterial small subunit ribosomal RNA
Source: RNAcentral
UACGUAGGGUGCAAGCGUUGUCCGGAAUUAUUGGGCGUAAAGAGCUCGUAGGCGGUCUGUCGCGUCUGCUGUGAAAACUCGGGGCUUAACCCCGGGCCUGCAGUGGGUACGGGCAGACUAGAGUGCGGUAGGGGAGACUGGAAUUCCUGGUGUAGCGGUGAAAUGCGCAGAUAUCAGGAGGAACACCGGUGGCGAAGGCGGGUCUCUGGGCCGUAACUGACGCUGAGGAGCGAAAGCAUGGGGAGCAAACAGG